GAUGAACGCUGGCGGCGUGCCUAACACAUGCAAGUCGAACGAAGCACUGGUGCGGAAGCCCUCGGGUGGAAGCGCCGGUGACUGAGUGGCGGACGGGUGAGUAACGCGUGGGGAACCUGCCCUAUACAGGGGGAUAACAGUGGGAAACUGCUGUUAAUACCGCAUAAGCGCACGAGGGCCGCAUGGCCCGGUGUGAAAAACUCCGGUGGUAUAGGAUGGUCCCGCGUCUGAUUAGCCAGUUGGCGGGGUAACGGCCCACCAAAGCGACGAUCAGUAGCCGGCCUGAGAGGGCGACCGGCCACAUUGGGACUGAGACACGGCCCAGACUCC
Molecule: ribosomal RNA, 330 nt
Filed under: uncultured Lachnospiraceae bacterium
Lineage: Bacteria; Bacillati; Bacillota; Clostridia; Lachnospirales; Lachnospiraceae
Description: bacterial SSU rRNA
Rfam family: Bacterial small subunit ribosomal RNA
Source: RNAcentral